GAAGUGCAUAGUGGUCAUAGACCCCUAAGUUGGAAAACGUGGUUUCAAGUGUUGGUCUCAAGGACUACACCUUCUCGGUGAAGCUAGACAAUUCUCAUUCAAUCCCAAUUAAAAUAUUUUAACAUACCAUUAAUCAUAGAGUUUUCUAUUAAGGCAUUCCUAAAUUGGUAUCGUCUUACCAAGACUUGUAAGUCGUCCAUAUAAUGUCAUACCAUUUCCAUUUAACCAUUCA
This 232-nucleotide long non-coding RNA is filed under the name Capsicum annuum. RNAcentral describes it as "long non-coding RNA (CANN_LNC019627)". Lineage: Eukaryota; Viridiplantae; Streptophyta; Magnoliopsida; Solanales; Solanaceae. The record is from RNAcentral.